Molecule: long non-coding RNA, 236 nt
Filed under: Mytilus galloprovincialis (Mediterranean mussel)
Lineage: Eukaryota; Metazoa; Mollusca; Bivalvia; Mytilida; Mytilidae
Source: RNAcentral
GAGUUAUAAGCCAAAAACUGCAUUUUACCCCUAUGUUCUAUUUUUAGACGUGGCGGCCAUCUUGGUUGGUUGGCCGGGUCACCGGAUACAUUUUUUAAACUAGAUACCCCAAUGAUGAUUGUGGCCAAGUUUGGUUUAAUUUGGCCGAGUAGUUUCAGAGGAGAAGAUUUUUGUAAAAGUUAACGACGCAGGACGACGACGGACGCAGGACGACGACGGACGACGGACGCAAAGUG